Molecule: ribosomal RNA, 1177 nt
Filed under: Zyginella minuta
Lineage: Eukaryota; Metazoa; Arthropoda; Insecta; Hemiptera; Cicadellidae
Description: 16S ribosomal RNA
Rfam family: Archaeal large subunit ribosomal RNA (bases 944-1102)
Source: RNAcentral
UUUUAUUUUUGUCUAAUUUUUUUUGUUAUAAUAAAUUUAGUAUAUUAAGAAUUAUAUUUAAUUAAAUUCUGUUUAGGAAUUAAUUAAUUAGUUUAAAAUAAUUUUUUAGUACCUUUUGUAUCAGGGCAGUUUAAUUUAUAAAUUUAUUUAAUUUUCCCGAAAUAAAUAGAUUAAUUUUAUUUUUAAUUUUUUAUGUAUCAAAAUGAUUAUAAAUUUUUUUUUAGUAGUUAAAAUCUAUUCGUUAUUUAUUAUAUCUGGUUAAGUUAGAUUAAAUUAAAUUUUAAAUCUUUUAUAUUUUUUAAUUAAUUUAAAUUGGUUUAAUUUUAUAAGGGAUAAUCUUUAUAUUACUAUAUAAUUUUAAAUUAUUAAUUUUUAUUAGUUUUUGAAUUUAAUAUUUAGUUAUUAAUAUAAUGGAAUUUUUUAGUAAUUAUUUUUUCAGAUUUAAUUUUUUAUAACUUUUAUUUAACAAAUUUUAAUUUAUAUUUAAUAAUGAUUUUAUUAGUAAAAUUUAAAAUUUAUAUUAAAUUAAUUCGACAAAUUUAAUUUCCAACUGUUUAUCAAAAACAUUUCUUUUAGUAAUUUUUAAUUGAAAGUACAUUCUGCCCUAUGAGUAACUUAAAUGGCUGCAGUAUAUUAACUGUACAAAGGUAGCAUAAUCAUUAGUCUUUUAAUUGUGGACUGGAAUGAAGGAUUAAAUGAGAAAUUUAUUUUAUUAGUAUUAUUUUUUGAACUUUAUUUUUAGGUAAAAAAGCUUAAUUAAUUUUUUGGGACGAAAAGACCCUAUAGAACUUCAUUAUCUAGUAAUUUUUAAAUUUUAAUUUUUAUUUAAUUAUUAUUUAUUUAAUUUAAUUGGGGUGAUUAAUAAAUUAAACUUUAUUUUAAAAAUUCAUUUUUUUAUGUAUCUUUUGAAUAGAGUACUAUUAUAAGAUUUAGUUACCUUAGGGAUAACAGCGUAAUUUCAAUGAAGAGUCCAUAUCUAUAUUGAAGUUUGCGACCUCGAUGUUGAAUUAAGAUUAUAAUAGGGGGUAGAUUUUUUAUUAUUAAGUCUGUUCGACUUUUAAAUUCUUACAUGAUUUGAGUUCAAACCGGUGUAAGCCAGGUUGGUUUCUAUCUUAAAGUUUAUUUAAUUGAUUUAGUACGAAAGGACCAGUCAGUUUAUAAUUGUAUAUAUAAUUUA